RNAcentral lists this ribosomal RNA (253 nucleotides) under uncultured bacterium. RNAcentral's name for it is "partial 16S ribosomal RNA". It matches the Rfam family "Bacterial small subunit ribosomal RNA", at positions 524 to 776 of the family's 1533-position model. The record is from RNAcentral.
UACGGAGGGUGCAAGCAUUAAUCGGAUUUAUUGGGCGUAAAGGGCGCGUAGGCGGGCGACUAAGUCAGAUGUGAAAUCCCGGGGCUCAACCCCGGAACUGCAUUUGAUACUGGUCAUCUUGAGGCUAGACGGAGGAAAUGGAAUUCCACAAGUAGCGGUGAAAUGCGUAGAUAUGUGGAGGAACACCGGUGGCGAAGGCGAUUUCCUAGUUUAGAACUGACGCUGAGGCGCGAAAGCAAGGGGAGCAAACAGG